Penaeus chinensis is the source of this 592-nucleotide long non-coding RNA. RefSeq lists it as uncharacterized. The record is from RefSeq and is a predicted model, not a curated record. NCBI's taxonomy places the organism in Eukaryota, Metazoa, Arthropoda, Malacostraca, Decapoda, Penaeidae. The transcript is spliced from 3 exons.
AGAAGAGUGCCAUACAACAGCCUGAAAGUCUUUUAGAUUAUCAUGAAAUAUCCGAGCCGGAUGCCCUUCCAGCCGCCAUCCCUCGUCAUCUACAAUUUAAUCCCCUUUCGCGCCUGACAACUCGAUUGGAAUAUUUAAUAGGCCUACUUUUUACCAUGCAAAAUACGCUAAAGAGAAAACUUCUGAAAUCUGAUAUCUAUUUUUUUUUUACAGCUGGAUGCCCUUCAAGCCGCCAUCCCUCGUCCUCUACAAUUUAAUCCCCUUUCGCGCCUGACAACUCAAUUGGAAUAUUUAAUAGGCCUACUUCUUACCAAGCAAAAUACGCUCCAGGUUGACAGACAUGUUGGGUUCUCCCUGUAACCACUCGCUCGGGAGGACCGGGCGACCGCUAAACCAGAUGCCGUUCCUCGCGCCCAUCCAGUAGUGGCUGUCAUCUGGAGGAAGAGGAACAUUAUAUAGGCAUUAUACUGUGUCAUUACCACGUGGCCUCGCCAUAUACCAUGUGGCCUCGCAAAGGGCCGCACCCCAGCGCACCCAAGCUGCCCACAUGGCACAAGCCAGCCGGCGGCCCCAGAGGGCGCGCCCCACGUCA